GAUGAACGCUAGCGGCAGGCUUAAUACAUGCAAGUCGAGGGGCAGCAGGACUGUAGCAAUCCAGUUGCUGGCGACCGGCAAACGGGUGCGGAACACGUACGCAACCUACCCAAAACUGGGGGAUAGCCCGGGGAAACCCGGAUUAAUACCUCGUAACCUUUUUAAGUGGCAUCACUUGAUAAGUAUAGCUCCGGCGGUUUUGGAUGGGCGUGCGCCUGAUUAGGUAGUUGGUGCGGGUAACGGCCCACCAAGCCUGCGAUCAGUAACUGGUGUGAGGGCACGACCAGUCACACGGGCACUGGGACACGGGCCCGACUCCUACGGGAGGCAGCAGUAAGGAAUAUUGGUCAAUGGACGCAAGUCUGAACCAGCCAUGCCGCGUGAAGGAUGAAGGUCCUCUGGAUUGUAAACUUCUUUUAUGGGGGACGAAACCCGGAUAUUCUUAUCCGAUUGACGGUACCUCAGGAAUAAGCACCGGCUAACUCCGUG
This 489-nucleotide ribosomal RNA is filed under the name uncultured bacterium. Its description in RNAcentral is "partial 16S ribosomal RNA". It matches the Rfam family "Bacterial small subunit ribosomal RNA", at positions 28 to 507 of the family's 1533-position model. The record is from RNAcentral.